This 72-nucleotide transfer RNA is filed under the name Chloroflexota bacterium. RNAcentral's name for it is "Chloroflexi bacterium (anaerobic digester metagenome) tRNA-Arg". It matches the Rfam family "tRNA". Rfam says of the family: Transfer RNA (tRNA) molecules are approximately 80 nucleotides in length. Their secondary structure includes four short double-helical elements and three loops (D, anti-codon, and T loops). The record is from RNAcentral. Lineage: Bacteria; Bacillati; Chloroflexota.
GCCCCUGUAGCUCAGUGGAUAGAGCAGCGGCCUCCGAAGCCGUGUGCAGGAGUUCGACUCUCCUCAGGGGUA